CUGGCCGCUCAUACACAACAGUACAGGUACUCCAUGGGUGGAUAUCAUGGGCGGACACUCGUAGCCGAAGUGGGCGAUGGGUGUUUCCUCUGUAGGUUUGGUUACCAACGAGGACCACGGGCGAGCGGAAGGCACUGCCGUGGCGCGCUACCACGGAGGCAGAGGCUUGCGCUCGUGA
Molecule: long non-coding RNA, 178 nt
Organism: Telopea speciosissima
Lineage: Eukaryota; Viridiplantae; Streptophyta; Magnoliopsida; Proteales; Proteaceae
Exons: 3
Source: RefSeq, a predicted model, not a curated record